RNAcentral lists this long non-coding RNA (1384 nucleotides) under Cairina moschata (Muscovy duck). Its description in RNAcentral is "domestica (muscovy Duck (domestic type)) lncRNA (ENSCMMG00000000094.1)". Lineage: Eukaryota; Metazoa; Chordata; Aves; Anseriformes; Anatidae. The record is from RNAcentral.
AAACAAUUAGUCUCAGGCUACAAAGACUGAGGUGAUCACACAAAAUGCACAUUCUAUAUGGGUGCAUGCCUGAUAAAAUAUAGCCAUCAUCAUGCACUCCUGAAAAGUAACAUUCACAGAAACUCAUGUGAUAAUGAGCAAUAGUGAAGUGCAAAGGACAUCAGUUUUCAAAAACAGAGGAAAGAUUUAGUGUUUCAGCAGCCUUUCCCAAAUACCUCCUCUGCUCUGACCCCAGCUCCUUGGCACAACCCAUCACGUAUGCAGUGCCACCUUCCCUCCCUGGGACUGGCCAAGGAAGGAGCUCCCACCACACUGAAAACUUAGUACAAAGUUUGGCUUUGUUUGAGUUGGCAUGAGAGAGUGGUUUGGAGCUGUUGAUAAAAUUUCUGUUGUUGCAGACAUAGUUAAUCACACAAAGGAACUUUUAACUGCCACCAGCCUACAGGUGGGUAAAACUUUCAUUUAUGGCUACAUGAACAAAAAAUCCAAGGCAUAUGGCUUAUAUAGUUUCACAAGAAUGAAAUAUCUCACAUGCCUCGAAAAUUACUUCAGCUGACAUUUAGGAAAAAAAAAAAAAAUCCUAAGGCUUUCUGCCAAAUUUUAUCACACACAACAUGCUUGGCCAACAAAACACUCAGACAGCACAACAGCACUCAGUCCUGCCUCAGGAUGUAUCUUUGAAUUCUCUCCGUAAUCACUGUACUGCUAUUUGCCAACUUUUCCUGAAUUUGAAGCUUCACCUACACUUCCAAGAAACACAAGGACAAGCUGAAUUCAGGUGGAAUUUUUUUGAACUGGAGCUGCCUCUGUUUAGACAGGAGAAGCACACUGCAUUUGGAGCUGCAGAGGCAUUUCCUCCAGGUAGGAUUUUGAGCACAUGGUGUAGGAGAAGUCAGUGUUAUAUUAUUACAACUGCUGACAUUUGAGGGCAAAAAAAAAUGUCUAAUCUAGCAGUAAUUUUAAUCCCAAAGUCUGGGAUGGAGGAAUUGACAGAGAAGAAGAGAAUGCAAUUUUAACCAAGCAAGUUACACACACAGACAGUGAUUAGCAGUCCCAGAAAUGGCAAAACUGGCACCAUCCUGCUAAAGUUAUACAUAGCACACAAAAGAGUAUGAGAAAGGGCAGGACAAGUUGCAAGCCUUGCAUCAUGUCACCAGCAUGACUGCCCCUACUCUCAGGGAGCUGGAAUUCUGCUAUUUCUGUUGCUUUCACCAGCCUGAAGGAGACAUACAGAGUUACUUACACUAAACUGGCACAUGCCUUCCUCUCUGCAACCCUGAACAGAAGCAACAAAGAGAGGAACUUUCACGGGAUGUAGAGGAAUUUCCGUUGUUAUCAAUUUGUGAAUAUUUCUCACCAUUGCCAAAAGAAUCAUGGAUUGAUC